RNAcentral lists this ribosomal RNA (465 nucleotides) under uncultured bacterium. RNAcentral's name for it is "partial 16S ribosomal RNA". It matches the Rfam family "Bacterial small subunit ribosomal RNA", at positions 28 to 507 of the family's 1533-position model. The record is from RNAcentral.
GACGAACGCUGGCGGCGUGCUUAACACAUGCAAGUCGAACGGAAAGGCCCUGCUUGCAGGGUACUCGAGUGGCGAACGGGUGAGUAACACGUGGGUGAUCUGCCCUGCACUUCGGGAUAAGCCUGGGAAACUGGGUCUAAUACCGGAUAGGAGCCAUUUUUAGUGUGAUGGUUGGAAAGUUUUUUCGGUGUAGGAUGAGCUCGCGGCCUAUCAGCUUGUUGGUGGGGUAAUGGCCUACCAAGGCGGCGGCGGGUAGCCGGCCUGAGAGGGUGGACGGCCAAAUUGGGACUGAGAUACGGCCCAGACUCCUACGGGAGGCAGCAGGGGGGAAUAUUGCACAAGGGGCGCAAGCCUGAUGCAGCGACGCCGCGUGGGGGAUGACGGCCUUCGGGUUGUAAACUCCUUUCGCUAGGGACGAAGCUUUUUGUGACGGUACCUAGAUAAGAAGCACCGGCUAACUACGUG